GACGAACGCUGGCGGCGUGCUUAACACAUGCAAGUCGAACGGAAAGGCCCUGCUUUUGUGGGGUGCUCGAGUGGCGAACGGGUGAGUAACACGUGAGUAACCUGCCCUUGACUUUGGGAUAACUUCAGGAAACUGGGGCUAAUACCGGAUAGGAGCUCCUGCUGCAUGGUGGGGGUUGGAAAGUUUCGGCGGUUGGGGAUGGACUCGCGGCUUAUCAGCUUGUUGGUGGGGUAGUGGCUUACCAAGGCUUUGACGGGUAGCCGGCCUGAGAGGGUGACCGGCCACAUUGGGACUGAGAUACGGCCCAGACUCCUACGGGAGGCAGCAGUGGGGAAUAUUGCACAAUGGGGGGGAGCCUGAUGCAGCAACGCCGCGUGCGGGAUGACGGCCUUCGGGUUGUAAACCGCUUUCGCCUGUGACGAAGCGUGAGUGACGGUAAUGGGUAAAGAAGCACCGGCUAACUACGUG
This 468-nucleotide ribosomal RNA is filed under the name uncultured bacterium. RNAcentral's name for it is "partial 16S ribosomal RNA". It matches the Rfam family "Bacterial small subunit ribosomal RNA", at positions 28 to 507 of the family's 1533-position model. The record is from RNAcentral.